GAUGAAGAACGUAGCAAAAUGCGAUACUUGGUGUGAAUUGCAGAAUCCCGUGAACCAUCGAGUUUUUGAACGCAAGUUGCGCCCGAAGCCUUUUGGCCGAGGGCACGUCUGCCUGGGCGUCACGCAUCGCGUCGCCCCCCCACAAUUCUCCGUAAAGGGAACAUGUGUUUUGGGGGCGGAUAUUGGUCUCCCGUGCUCAUGGCGUGGUUGGCCGAAAUAGGAGUCCUUUCGAUGGACGCACGAACUAGUGGUGGUCGUAAAAACCCUCGUCUUUUGUUUCGUGCUGUUAGUCGCAAGGGAAACUCUAAGAAAACCCCAACGUGUCGUCUUUUGACGGCGCUUCGACCGCGACCCCAGGUCAGGCGGGACUACCCGCUGAGUUUAAGCAUAUCAAUAAGCGGAGGA
This 405-nucleotide unclassified non-coding RNA is filed under the name soil metagenome. RNAcentral describes it as "partial contains 5.8S ribosomal RNA, internal transcribed spacer 2, and large subunit ribosomal RNA". The stretch from base 1 to 122 matches the Rfam family "5.8S ribosomal RNA", at positions 35 to 154 of the family's 154-position model. The record is from RNAcentral.